UCGAAACCUGCAAAACAGACCCGCGAACACGUUCCAACUCCCGGGGAGGAAGGCGCGAGCACGGCCGACCACGUCGUCCCGCGCCGGAGACCCGCUCCGUCGAUGUGCGCGCGAGCGCCCGUCGUGCGGCUUAACGAACCCCGGCGCGAAAAGCGUCAAGGAAUACUCAAAACACUGCUCGUCCCACGAUGCCCCGUUCGCGGUGUGCACUCGGGGAUCGGGCGUGCGUCGAAUUUAAAACGACUCUCGGCAACGGAUAUCUUGGCUCUCGCAUCGAUGAAGAACGCAGCAAAAUGCGAUACUUGGUGUGAAUUGCAGAAUCCCGUGAACCAUCGAGUUUUUGAACGCAAGUUGCGCCCGAAGCCGUUAUGCUGAGGGCACGUCUGCCUGGGCGUCACGCACAGCGUCUCCCUCCACCUCCUCCCGACGGAAUCGCGGGUGUUGGGACGGACAUUGGCCUCCCGUGAGCUCUCGCACGCGGCUGGCCCAAACGUGAUUCGACGUCGACGUGCGUCGCGACGAUUGGUGGUUGAAGACCUCAACUCGCGCGUUGUCGUGCACGAGCACGUCGUUACGUCGGAUGUGUCGACCCCGAAGGCUGCUUCGCACCUCGACA
This 616-nucleotide ribosomal RNA is filed under the name Osmanthus gracilinervis. RNAcentral describes it as "eukaryotic LSU rRNA". The stretch from base 242 to 397 matches the Rfam family "5.8S ribosomal RNA". The record is from RNAcentral. Lineage: Eukaryota; Viridiplantae; Streptophyta; Magnoliopsida; Lamiales; Oleaceae.